UUUGUUGUUUGUUUACACUUCACCUGCCACAGAUCCUCCGUGGCCUAAUUGCAUCUUUAACACAGGCAUCUCUGUCUUCUGGACUCUGUUCUCCAUCCUUUACACCCUCUACCGUGUGUAAUGUAUGUGAGACCCCACCAGGAGGCGGCCGUGCUGCCCUCCCCACUUUACAGAUGGGCCAACAACACAGACACACAGUUUAGAGCCUGGAGUUGAGUCUAGCCCGCCUGUCCCCACAGCCAGAGUGGUUGGCAAGGAUGACCUGUCCUGCUUCUGGGAAGGCAAGAGUCAGAGCGAGUGGAGAAGGUCAUUUACCUGUGCAGUAAGAUCUCCUCAGCACGGUUGCUCUCAGGCAAGCAUUCGUCUUGAAAAUAAAUCAGGGACUAUCUUAAAGAGAAAAAAGCUCUGGACCUACAGAAAGACGAGCACUACCCCUCCUGGAGCACGGAGUGUUUUAAGAACAGACUUCGCAGGUGAGACCCGCAUGAGCAGCCCAGGAGAAUCAGAGGCACCAUCAGACCUCAGGCCCGGCCCUGAAUGUGAACACCAGAGAAGCUUCCUCUAUGCAGGGAUCUCGGACAGGGCCAAUGCUUGCCCAGGAAGCUGAUGAUCUACAGCGCACAAGAAAUUGACUAAGACACAAGUAAAAGUGUUAAAUAAACAACAACAAUGGCAGUGAAACACUACUCACAUGGUGUUGUUAAAAAAGGCAUUCAUAGAUAUGAUCGGAGGGGUCUGGGGGUACGUCUCUGUCCAGGAUACCUCUAUGAGGAAGGCCUUGGGAUCACCGU
Long non-coding RNA from Talpa occidentalis (Iberian mole), 791 nucleotides. RefSeq lists it as uncharacterized. The transcript is spliced from 3 exons. The record is from RefSeq and is a predicted model, not a curated record. NCBI's taxonomy places the organism in Eukaryota, Metazoa, Chordata, Mammalia, Eulipotyphla, Talpidae.